Molecule: small RNA, 123 nt
Filed under: Salmonella enterica subsp. enterica serovar Muenchen
Lineage: Bacteria; Pseudomonadati; Pseudomonadota; Gammaproteobacteria; Enterobacterales; Enterobacteriaceae
Also listed under: 2 other names
Description: partial RtT sRNA
Rfam family: RtT RNA
About the family: This family represents a bacterial cis-regulatory element known as RtT RNA. The exact function of RtT is unknown although it is thought that it may be involved in changing the cellular response in relation to amino acid starvation.
Source: RNAcentral
AUAUCUCUCUGUACGGGAAGGAUGAGAAGCUUCGACUAAGGUUCGAUUCGAGCGCAGCGAGAAAGCGUUGCCGCAGGCAACGACCCGAAGGGCGAAGCGCGCAGCGCUGAGUCAUCCUUCCCC